Molecule: ribosomal RNA, 407 nt
Filed under: uncultured bacterium
Lineage: Bacteria
Description: bacterial SSU rRNA
Rfam family: Bacterial small subunit ribosomal RNA
Source: RNAcentral
GAUGAACGCUAGCUACAGGCUUAACACAUGCAAGUCGAGGGGAAACGACAUCGAAAGCUUGCUUUUGGUGGGCGUCGACCGGCGCACGGGUGAGUAACGCGUAUCCAACCUGCCCACCACUUGGGGAUAACCUUGCGAAAGUAAGACUAAUGCCCAAUGACAUUUAUAGAAGGCAUCUGAAAUGAAUUAAAGAUUUAUCGGUGAUGGAUGGGGAUGCGUCUGAUUAGCUUGUUGGCGGGGUAACGGCCCACCAAGGCGACGAUCAGUAGGGGUUCUGAGAGGAUGAACGGCCACAUUGGGACUGAGACACGGCCCAAACUCCUACGGGAGGCAGCAGUGGGGGAAUCUUCCGCAAUGGGCGCAAGCCUGACGGAGCAACGCCGCGUGAGUGAAGAAGGUUUACGGUA